AGGAAUCCUAUCCCAUAAUUGGAAACAGGAGAUGCAUCUACUUGUCAUUAACUCAAAAAAAAAAAAAAAAACUACAUCUAGCAAGAAGCCAAUCCCAUAAUUGGAAACAGGAAAUGCAUCCACUUGUCAUUAUUCCGAACCAGAGAGAAAGAGAGCGACCUGAAAGGGAGUGAUGGUGGUGGCGGAAUUUGCAAAUGGACGACGAGAGAGCAAGACAGUGCAUUGCAGCCAUUCUCGUACCGAGAUGGAGAAAAGAGAGGGAGACAGAUAGAGAGGAAGACAGGAAAAAUAGCAAGCAGUGGCAGAGGAACAGAGAAAGAGAAUGAAGCGAUUGGGCUGCGGUGUGUCGCAAAGAGAGCCAUCCAUCCAUCACCAAUUUGAACCAUCCGAUCUCAAACUUUUUG
Molecule: long non-coding RNA, 404 nt
Filed under: Phoenix dactylifera (date palm)
Lineage: Eukaryota; Viridiplantae; Streptophyta; Magnoliopsida; Arecales; Arecaceae
Description: long non-coding RNA (PDAC_LNC022378)
Source: RNAcentral